This 231-nucleotide long non-coding RNA is filed under the name Arabidopsis lyrata. Its description in RNAcentral is "long non-coding RNA (ALYR_LNC000356)". The record is from RNAcentral. Lineage: Eukaryota; Viridiplantae; Streptophyta; Magnoliopsida; Brassicales; Brassicaceae.
CUGAACCCUGAACCCUGAACCCUGAACCCUGAACCCUGAACCCUGAACCCUGAACCCUGAACCCUGAACCCUGUCUUAAUUUGAAACUAGAUUACUUUAUUGUCUGUCAUACUUGAUUAUUCUCCUUAAUGUUACAAGCCUGAUAUUUGCUAUCCUAUGUCAUCUUAGCCAUAUCUUGCUAUAACUCGUGUGUGUGUAUCAUUGAUAGAGUUCCACUUAACUUAGUUCAUG